This 868-nucleotide small RNA is filed under the name Yarrowia lipolytica. RNAcentral describes it as "eukaryotic LSU rRNA". The stretch from base 284 to 868 matches the Rfam family "Eukaryotic large subunit ribosomal RNA", at positions 1 to 667 of the family's 3401-position model. Lineage: Eukaryota; Fungi; Ascomycota; Dipodascomycetes; Dipodascales. The record is from RNAcentral.
AAGGAUCAUUAUUGAUUUUAUCUAUUUCUGUGGAUUUCUAUUCUAUUACAGCGUCAUUUUAUCUCAAUUAUAACUAUCAACAACGGAUCUCUUGGCUCUCACAUCGAUGAAGAACGCAGCGAACCGCGAUAUUUUUUGUGACUUGCAGAUGUGAAUCAUCAAUCUUUGAACGCACAUUGCGCGGUAUGGCAUUCCGUACCGCACGGAUGGAGGAGCGUGUUCCCUCUGGGAUCGCAUUGCUUUCUUGAAAUGGAUUUUUUUAAACUCUCAAUUAUUACGUCAUUUCACCUCCUUCAUCCGAGAUUACCCGCUGAACUUAAGCAUAUCAAUAAGCGGAGGAAAAGAAACCAACAGGGAUUGCCUCAGUAACGGCGAGUGAAGCGGCAAAAGCUCAAAUUUGAAACCCUCGGGAUUGUAAUUUGAAGAUUUGGCAUUGGAGAAAGCUAACCCAAGUUGCUUGGAAUAGUACGUCAUAGAGGGUGACAACCCCGUCUGGCUAACCGUUCUCCAUGUAUUGCCUUAUCAAAGAGUCGAGUUGUUUGGGAAUGCAGCUCAAAGUGGGUGGUAAACUCCAUCUAAAGCUAAAUACUGGUGAGAGACCGAUAGCGAACAAGUACUGUGAAGGAAAGGUGAAAAGAACUUUGAAAAGAGAGUGAAAUAGUAUGUGAAAUUGUUGAUAGGGAAGGAAAUGAGUGGAGAGUGGCCGAGGUUUCAGCCGCCCCUCGUGGGCGGUGUACUGCCGACGCCGAGUCAUCGAUAGCGAGACGAGGGUUACAAAUGGGAGCGCCUUUCGGGCGUUCUCCCCUAACCCUCCACACUGCCACCGACGACAUAAUCCACCCAUUUCACCCGUCUUGAAACACGGACC